UAGGGAAUUUUCCGCAAUGGGCGAAAGCCUGACGGAGCAAUACCGCGUGAGGGAUGAAUGCCUAUGGGUUGUAAACCUCUUUUUUCAGGGAGGAAUAAAUGACGUGUACCUGAAGAAUAAGCAUCGGCUAACUCCGUGCCAGCAGCCGCGGUAAGACGGAGGAUGCAAGUGUUAUCCGGAAUCACUGGGCGUAAAGCGUCUGUAGGUGGCUUAAUAAGUCAACUGUUAAAUCUUGAAGCUCAACUUCAAAAUCGCAGUCGAAACUAUUAGACUAGAGUAUAGUAGAGGUAAAGGGAAUUUCCAGUGGAGCGGUGAAAUGCGUAGAGAUUGGAAAGAACACCGAUGGCGAAGGCACUUUACUGGGCUAUUACUGACACUCAGAGAC
This 385-nucleotide ribosomal RNA is filed under the name uncultured bacterium. Its description in RNAcentral is "bacterial SSU rRNA". It matches the Rfam family "Bacterial small subunit ribosomal RNA", at positions 355 to 754 of the family's 1533-position model. The record is from RNAcentral.